CGCGGCCUAUCAGCUUGUUGGCGGGGUAACGGCCCACCAAGGCUACGACGGGUAGCUGGUUUGAGAGAACGAUCAGCCACACUGGAACUGAGACACGGUCCAGACUCCUACGGGAGGCAGCAGUGGGGAAUCUUGCGCAAUGGGCGAAAGCCUGACGCAGCAACGCCGCGUGCGGGAUGAAGGCCUUCGGGUUGUAAACCGCUUUCAGCAGGGACGAAAAUGACGGUACCUGCAGAAGAAGCUCCGGCUAACUACGUGCCAGCAGCCGCGGUAAUACGUAGGGAGCAAGCGUUGUCCGGAUUUAUUGGGCGUAAAGAGCUCGUAGGCGGUUCCGUAAGUCGAGUGUGAAAAAUCUGGGCUCAACCCAGUGAAGCACUCGAUACUGCGGUGACUAGAGUACGGUAGAGGAGUGUGGAAUUUGUGGUGCAGCGGUGAAAUGCGCAGAUAUCACAAGGAACACCAACGGCGAAAGCAGCACUCUGGGCCGGUACUGACGCUGAGGAGCGAAAGCGUGGGGAGCAAACAGGAUUAGAUACCCUGGUAGUCCACGCCGUAAACGUUGGGCACUAGGUGUGGGGAGGAAUCAACCCUUUCCGUGCCGUAGCUAACGCAUUAAGUGCCCCGCCUGGGGAGUACGGA
Molecule: ribosomal RNA, 639 nt
Filed under: uncultured Actinomycetes bacterium
Lineage: Bacteria; Bacillati; Actinomycetota; Actinomycetes
Description: bacterial SSU rRNA
Rfam family: Bacterial small subunit ribosomal RNA
Source: RNAcentral